RNAcentral lists this ribosomal RNA (253 nucleotides) under uncultured bacterium. RNAcentral describes it as "partial 16S ribosomal RNA". It matches the Rfam family "Bacterial small subunit ribosomal RNA", at positions 524 to 776 of the family's 1533-position model. The record is from RNAcentral.
UACGUAGGGUGCAAGCGUUGUCCGGAAUUAUUGGGCGUAAAGAGCUCGUAGGCGGUCUGUUGCGUCGGCUGUGAAAACCCGGGGCUCAACCCCGGGCCUGCAGCCGAUACGAGCAGACUAGAGUUCGGCAGGGGAGACUGGAAUUCCUGGUGUAGCGGUGAAAUGCGCAGAUAUCAGGAGGAACACCAGUAGCGAAGGCGGCACUCUGGGCCGGUACUGACGCUGAGGAGCGAAAGCGUGGGGAGCAAACAGG